RNAcentral lists this ribosomal RNA (433 nucleotides) under uncultured bacterium. RNAcentral describes it as "partial 16S ribosomal RNA". It matches the Rfam family "Bacterial small subunit ribosomal RNA", at positions 29 to 507 of the family's 1533-position model. The record is from RNAcentral.
AACGAACGCUGGCGGCAUGCCUAACACAUGCAAGUCGAACGAGACCUUCGGGUCUAGUGGCGCACGGGUGCGUAACGCGUGGGAACCUGCCCUUAGGUUCGGAAUAACUCCCCGAAAGGGGUGCUAAUACCGGAUAAUGUCUUCGGACCAAAGAUUUAUCGCCUUUGGAUGGGCCCGCGUUCGAUUAGCUAGUUGGUAGGGUAAAAGCCUACCAAGGCGACGAUCCAUAGCUGGUCUGAGAGGAUGAUCAGCCACACUGGGACUGAGACACGGCCCAGACUCCUACGGGAGGCAGCAGUGGGGAAUAUUGGACAAUGGGCGAAAGCCUGAUCCAGCAAUGCCGCGUGAGUGAUGAAGGCCCUAGGGUUGUAAAGCUCUUUUACCCGGGAUGAUAAUGACAGUACCGGGAGAAUAAGCUCCGGCUAACUCCGUG